GGGCAACCUGCCUCAUACAGGGGGAUAACAGUCAGAAAUGACUGCUAAUACCGCAUAAGACCACGGCACCGCAUGGUACAGGGGUAAAAACUCCGGUGGUACGAGAUGGACCCGCGUCUGAUUAGCCAGUUGGUGAGGUAACGGCUUACCAAGCCGACGAUCAGUAGCCGACUUGAGAGAGUGACCGGCCACAUUGGGACUGAGACACGGCCCAGACUCCUACGGGAGGCAGCAGUGGGGAAUAUUGCACAAUGGAGGAAACUCUGAUGCAGCGACGCCGCGUGAAGGAAGAAGUAUUUCGGUAUGUAAAGUUCUAUCAGCAGGGAAGAAAAUGACGGUACCUGACUAAGAAGCCCCGGCUAACUACGUGCCAGCAGCCGCGGUAAUACGUAGGGGGCAAGCGUUAUCCGGAUUUACUGGGUGUAAAGGGAGCGU
Molecule: ribosomal RNA, 435 nt
Filed under: uncultured Lachnospiraceae bacterium
Lineage: Bacteria; Bacillati; Bacillota; Clostridia; Lachnospirales; Lachnospiraceae
Description: bacterial SSU rRNA
Rfam family: Bacterial small subunit ribosomal RNA
Source: RNAcentral